AUGACACGAGACAGGUGGUCGGCUCUGUGGCUGGCUCGACGCAAACCCAACGCUUUUCUCCCCCAAUGCUCGUCGACAAAGUCGGAGCUGAUUGGUCGCCGGCACGUGUGGGUGACUGUUUGGCAUCAACCGCCGCAAACCUUGACGCUUGUUUGCGGUGAGGGCUUCUUUGGUGGUCGUCGAUGGUGGAGUUGGAGUCACCCUCAGGGAGGGGUGAUGACGGUGAUGUUGAGCUGCAACCUCGACAACGCUUUUCUCCUCGGUGACGUGUGUAUGUUCUUGUGCGAGUUGCCGGGUCGCCUCGUGUGGCUUGUUUUUGUGGGCGUGAUAUGUGACGGUUUAAAUCCUUUUUUGUUAAUUAAGCAGGUAAUUCUCUUUGACCUUUUUAAUGAAUCGGACCUAAGGACCGCGUUAAAAAAACAUGCUCCUUUUCUUCUUAUUAUCUUGGAAAAAAAUAUCACUCUCUCACCGCACGGUCACGACACAAGCCUUCACUCUCUCCCUGCAAGGCAGCGGUGCUGCCAUCUCUCCUUAUCUCCCCGCCACGGCGUGGCCGCCGCCAUAUCUCCCCUCAUGGCUACUCCCAGCUGCCUCCCCUCCAUGGCGUGUCAAUCAACCCACACCCUUCUCUCACCGCCGCCUCCCAUCCCCCAUGGCGUCGCUCAUCCCAUCCACUCCCCGCCACGGCGUUGCCAACACAUCUGGCACGGCGAGCAGCGAGAUCCGACCGGGAGGUGGAGAAGGCCUCGUUGUUAUCCGUUCGCAGAAGUCCACGUAGCUGGCCUGUCCGGAUUUGGGCAAGAUGACCUCAGGCACGAGGUGUGGCUCGACAAGUUGGAGGGAUGGCCCCCUGGUUCUCAGGCCCGGUCUUCUAGUUCAGCCGAGACGCACCGUCCAUCUCCAUAGCGGGGACAUCCCAGGCAGCAGCGGAGUAGCCUCCAAGGAAAGCCGGACCAAGCGUGAGCACGACAAGUAACUCGAGGCGCUGCACCGGUGACCAUGGGAGUCUUGUACACGAAGAAGUACUACAAAUUGGCCAAGCACCAGUAUUGGAUGCGUCAAAUCUCGGACUGAUCAAACCCAACAGCCUCGUUCGGUUCAGGGGGAUGGUUCAGGACAUGCUCGGGGCGAGUUCUAUGCCGGCUCUUUAGAGGAUGUGCUACCUGGAGGACAAAAAAGUUCACAGACUUCUCACCAUUCUCGAUGAUGUACCCAUGUGAUUCGCAUCUCUGGGAGCACCAUCUCUGCCAUUGCGUGCCUGUGCAUAGGCAGAAUUCUUGGAUACUGGAGUCUCCCCC
Molecule: ribosomal RNA, 1298 nt
Filed under: Triticum aestivum (bread wheat)
Lineage: Eukaryota; Viridiplantae; Streptophyta; Magnoliopsida; Poales; Poaceae
Description: partial small subunit ribosomal RNA
Source: RNAcentral